UGGCCUACCUGAGAGCCUCAUUUGGAAAUACAGCAAAUCCAUUGUAAAGAGGAUCCCAACUGGGGAGGAAGCAAGGCCAUGGAGAGCCAGAGACGUGAAGGGUACUGAAUAUGUCCUUCAGGAUAAGUGAAUAUGAAUGCUUUAUCGAAGUAUGACUGACAAAAUUUUAUAAAUUUAGGUUGUACAAGAUGAUUUUAAC
Long non-coding RNA from Physeter macrocephalus (sperm whale), 199 nucleotides. RefSeq lists it as uncharacterized. The record is from RefSeq and is a predicted model, not a curated record. The transcript has 3 exons. Lineage: Eukaryota; Metazoa; Chordata; Mammalia; Artiodactyla; Physeteridae.